This 1255-nucleotide ribosomal RNA is filed under the name Amynthas glaucus. Its description in RNAcentral is "l-rRNA". The stretch from base 560 to 1255 matches the Rfam family "Archaeal large subunit ribosomal RNA", at positions 1423 to 2897 of the family's 2987-position model. The record is from RNAcentral. Lineage: Eukaryota; Metazoa; Annelida; Clitellata; Crassiclitellata; Megascolecidae.
GCCCACGUAAUAUACCCCUAUAAACAUUAAAUAAUAAAAACAAAUAAAUAGCACUAUUAAUAAGUACAGAAAUGGAAAAAUAAAUAAAUAAAAGUAAAUUUUAAUAUAUGUACCUUGUGCAUUAUGGUUUUACAAGAAAAUAAUUAAAUACCUAAAUCCCGAAUUCUAAAUGAGAUGUUGAACUGCUGUUAUGAACCCACUAAUAGCUGUGGCAAAAGCUUUAAAAGACAGUUUAACAGAGGCUACAUACCAUCCGCAUAAGAACAUAGCUGGUUUUCAACAAACAUUAUAUAUUAAAACAUAUAAUUAUAUUAUAAUGUAAAAUUACUGAGGACAAGCCCAAUAAUAUCAGCAAUACCCUAAUAAAUCGUUUCCCUAUAUUUAGGCCUAAAAUCAGCCAACCAAAAUACUUUACCGUAAUAAAUAUUGAUAAAAUUCAUAUAAAUCUACAUGCUAAAUGAAGUUGAAAUAAUGGAUAAACUCUGCUAGCUCCACCUAUAUUAUGUAAAAAUAAGUAUUAUAUAAAAAUAAAUAUCAACUACCAAGUUAUAAAUAAAAACUAAGUAACAAUAAUUAAUUAAGGAACUCGGCAAAUUACUAUUUCGACUGUUUAACAAAAACAUUGUCUCAUGCAUAAAAAUAUGAGAUAAUACCUGCCCAGUGACAUAGUUCAACGGCCGCGGUAUCCUAACCGUGCAAAGGUAGCAUAAUCACUUGCCUAUUAAUUGUAGGCUAGAAUGAAAGGGUUAACGAAAUAAAAACUGUCUCAAUUAAUUACCUAAAAAUUAUUAUUUACCUGAAGAAAAGUAAAUAAUCUCGAAGGACAAGAAGACCCUAUAGAGCUUAAUUUCAAUUAUAGAUCUAACUAUAAAAAUAUUCGGUUGGGGCGACCCAGGGCUAACAAUCACCCAGCAUAUAAGAGAUAAAUAAAUCAAACAAUCUGACCCUUAAAAGAUCAAAAAACCAAGCUACCUUAGGGAUAACAGGCUAAUCCCACUUAAGAGUCCUUAUCAACAGUGGGGGUUGGCACCUCGAUGUUGGCUUAGGGUAUCUAUAUAGCGCAAAAGUUAUAUAAAGAUGGUUUGUUCAACCAACAAUUCCCUACAUGAGCUGAGUUCAGACCGGCGUAAGCCAGGUUAGCUUCUAUCCUCGACCACACACUCUACUCCUAGUACGAAAGGACCUGAGCAGAGUAAUAAAUUACAUAAAAGAACUCAUAUAAUUGCAUAUAAACAAUACUAUAAUAUAUACUAUA